CCGUCGUCUCCCCUGACUCCUAAGAUGGCUCCGCCACUACCUAAACCCUCACCUCCACGUCCAUCUCCGAAGAAGUCUCCUCCACCUCCUAACCCAUCUCUUCCGCCUCCGCCUCCACCUCCGCCUCCGCCUCCUAAACCCUCAUCUCCGCCUCCUAAACCCUCACCUCCGCCUCCUAAACCAUCGCCUCCACCGACUCCUAAAAUGUCUCCGCCAUCACCUACACCAUCACCUCCACGUCCAACUCCAAAAACGUUUACUCCACCUCCUAACCCAUCAUCUCUGACUCCA
Molecule: long non-coding RNA, 291 nt
Filed under: Brassica napus (rape)
Lineage: Eukaryota; Viridiplantae; Streptophyta; Magnoliopsida; Brassicales; Brassicaceae
Description: long non-coding RNA (BNAP_LNC024458)
Source: RNAcentral